This 434-nucleotide long non-coding RNA is filed under the name Monomorium pharaonis (pharaoh ant). RNAcentral describes it as "solute carrier family 35 member G1, transcript variant X1". The record is from RNAcentral. Lineage: Eukaryota; Metazoa; Arthropoda; Insecta; Hymenoptera; Formicidae.
UGUAUUUGAGCAGCACCAGUGCAGGAUCAGUACAGAUCUGUUAGUUGCAUAUUUUACCUUUUGUUUUUCCUCGUCUCUCAAUUCAAAAAACAAUUAUACGUUCAUUUUCUUUAAAGCUAGAAAAUGCAAAAGAGUACAGUCAAAAUGAGCAAAUCCACAGUUAAACGGCUACAUUUUGUGGCUACAUUACUGAUUAGAUAAUUUCAUGGUUAUUCACAAACGUAUCUGAUGAAAUCGUUAAUACAUUAAUAGGACUUUCUAUUGUUUACAUUAAGUUGUAACUUUGUCAUAGUUGUUGACAAAUCAGUCUCACUUUGGAAACAUAGAAUAUAAAUUUAAUUUCUACAGAGUAGUGUGUGUGUGUACACACACACACACACACACACACACACACACACACACACACACACACACACACACACACACACACAUAU